GCGCUUAGGCAGUGCAUACACUAACAUCAGGAGGACACAGAGAAAUGACCACGGCCCCUGCACAAGGAUGACACACAAAUUCAGGAAGCAUCUAAUAUUUAA
This is a small nuclear RNA of Nycticebus coucang (slow loris), 102 nucleotides long. The record is from RefSeq and is a predicted model, not a curated record. NCBI's taxonomy places the organism in Eukaryota, Metazoa, Chordata, Mammalia, Primates, Lorisidae.